AACGAACGCUGGCGGCAUGCCUAACACAUGCAAGUCGAACGAGACCUUCGGGUCUAGUGGCGCACGGGUGCGUAACGCGUGGGAAUCUGCCCUUCGGUUCGGAAUAACUCAGGGAAACUUGAGCUAAUACCGAAUGAUGUCUUCGGACCAAAGAUUUAUCGCCGAAGGAUGAGCCCGCGUCGGAUUAGCUAGUUGGUGAGGUAAAGGCUCACCAAGGCGACGAUCCGUAGCUGGUCUGAGAGGAUGAUCAGCCACACUGGGACUGAGACACGGCCCAGACUCCUACGGGAGGCAGCAGUGGGGAAUAUUGGACAAUGGGCGAAAGCCUGAUCCAGCAAUGCCGCGUGAGUGAUGAAGGCCUUAGGGUUGUAAAGCUCUUUUACCCGGGAUGAUAAUGACAGUACCGGGAGAAUAAGCCCCGGCUAACUCCGUGCCAGCAGCCGCGGUAAUACGGAGGGGCUAGCGUUGUUCGGAAUUACUGGGCGUAAAGCGCACGUA
Molecule: ribosomal RNA, 498 nt
Filed under: uncultured bacterium
Lineage: Bacteria
Description: bacterial SSU rRNA
Rfam family: Bacterial small subunit ribosomal RNA
Source: RNAcentral